UUGAGUUAUUUCUCUUACACUGCUUUUAAAUCAUGUUUUGUACUUAAAAGAAUAAGUAAUUGUCCAUCAACCAGGACACCCUUGUUUUUCACCCUUUUUUGCCCCCAAUUCCUAAACAGUUUUAGCAAUAAAAACCCAAAGCCAUUUUUUACCAUCCCUUUGUGGUAUGCAAACUUGUGGUAUAAUUUCAGAGAAAUCCAUACACCAUUCCACAAGUUAUUGUCUGGAAACUAGAAAAAUGCUUAUUUGGGCCCCCUUUUGGCCCCCAAUUCCUAAACUGUUGGGAACAUAACCCCUUAAUUCAAUCC
RNAcentral lists this long non-coding RNA (308 nucleotides) under Mytilus galloprovincialis (Mediterranean mussel). The record is from RNAcentral. Lineage: Eukaryota; Metazoa; Mollusca; Bivalvia; Mytilida; Mytilidae.